CGUAACAAGGUUUCCGUAGGUGAACCUGCGGAAGGAUCAUUACCGAGUGAGGGUUUCUCUGAAGCCCAACCUCCCACCCGUGUAUACCGUACCCUGUUGCUUCGGCGGGCCCGCCUCACGGCCGCCGGGGGACCUCGCGUCCCCGGGCCCGCGCCCGCCGAAGACCCCAACACGAACACUGUCUGAAAAGUGCAGUCUGAGUCGAUUGUUACCAAUCAGUCAAAACUUUCAACAAUGGAUCUCUUGGUUCCGGCAUCGAUGAAGAACGCAGCGAAAUGCGAUAACUAAUGUGAAUUGCAGAAUUCAGUGAAUCAUCGAGUCUUUGAACGCACAUUGCGCCCCCUGGUAUUCCGGGGGGCAUGCCUGUCCGAGCGUCAUUGCUGCCCUCAAGCACGGCUUGUGUGUUGGGCCCCGUCCCCGGUACCCCCGGGGACGGGCCCGAAAGGCAGCGGCGGCACCGCGUCCGGUCCUCGAGCGUAUGGGGCUUUGUCACCCGCUCUGCAGGCCCGGCCGGCGCCAGCCGACCAACCCAACCAUUUUUUACAGGUUGACCUCGGAUCAG
Molecule: ribosomal RNA, 562 nt
Filed under: Aspergillus candidus
Lineage: Eukaryota; Fungi; Ascomycota; Eurotiomycetes; Eurotiales; Aspergillaceae
Description: eukaryotic LSU rRNA
Rfam family: 5.8S ribosomal RNA (bases 224-377)
Source: RNAcentral